RNAcentral lists this long non-coding RNA (507 nucleotides) under Androctonus crassicauda. Lineage: Eukaryota; Metazoa; Arthropoda; Arachnida; Scorpiones; Buthidae. The record is from RNAcentral.
AAGGAUUUUCACAAUCAUUAGUUUACAUUAAUAAAUUUUUUGUUAAAAAGCAUAGUAUUUUUUAACAUUCUCAGAUAUGCUUUCUUUGACAACACAUGCACUUCAUUUUGCCACAUAUCUUCAUUCUUCAUCAACUACUUACUUUGCAACACUUGCCAUGUACUCAGCCAUCCUUUACAUUGCACAUAUUAUCAGCCACUGUAUCCAGCCUUACAUGCAUUCAUGUUCAUAAACUUACUGCAAACUCAGAUCUCCAUUUUCAUUCAUAUUCAGUUUUGUCCUCACAUUUAGUCAUUCAAUAGAUUCUUCCAAUCACCAGAUAGUAAUCUGGUUAUUGGAAGAAUCUGUUGAAUGAUGUCUGUACACUCCUCAUCACUUGUAUUCACAACUUUUAUAUUCUCGUUUGUUAUACAUAAUCAAAAUCAAUCAUACUCUUGCAAAUAUAUUUUAUGAAUUUCAUAAAUAAAUACACAAUGACUGUGUAUGAACAAAUGAACUGUAUAAACA